UAGAUUGAAGCCAGUUGUUUUGGGUGUUUAGCUGUUAACUAAAGAGUCAUGGGGUCAAAGCCCGUCAAUCUA
This 72-nucleotide transfer RNA is filed under the name Potamogale velox. Its description in RNAcentral is "tRNA-Asn". The record is from RNAcentral. Lineage: Eukaryota; Metazoa; Chordata; Mammalia; Afrosoricida; Tenrecidae.